GUAGGGAAUAUUGGACAAUGGGGGCAACCCUGAUCCAGCGACGCCGCGUGAGUGACGAUGGCCUUCGGGUCGUAAAGCUCUGUUGCAAGGGAAAAACAAAAUGAUGGUACUUUGCUAGAAAGGAUCGGCUAACUUCGUGCCAGCAGCCGCGGUAAGACGAGGGAUCCUAGCGUUGUUCGGAAUUAUUGGGCGUACAGCGGGUGUAGGUGGCUUUGUACGUCAGUUGUGAAAGCCUGGGGCUUAACCCCAGAAGUGCAUUUGAUACUGCGAAGCUUGAGUGCUGGAGAGGCUACUAGAAUUCUUGGUGUAGUGGUGAAAUACGUAGAUAUCAAGAGGAAUACCGGGGGCGAAGGCGGGUAGCUGGCCAGACACUGACACUCAGACCCGAAAGCGUGGGGAUCAAACAGGAUUAGAAACCCCUGUAGUCC
Molecule: ribosomal RNA, 428 nt
Filed under: uncultured bacterium
Lineage: Bacteria
Description: partial 16S ribosomal RNA
Rfam family: Bacterial small subunit ribosomal RNA
Source: RNAcentral